UGCUGAAUGAAGAGCAGAUGCCCUGAGCAUCUCUGAGCCGUGGGGCUGAGCUGCAGCCACCCACCUGGGACCAGCAGCGCAGGAAGAGCUGACACAAGCUGGCAAGGACAGAAGCAACCUCUCCUUCUCACUCCUUAUCCAACCAGAGCAUGUGCAAAUUCAGAGACUCUUUGACAACGUGAACCCAGACUGGAACAUGGCAGAACCUUGGUGCUGUUUUGUAUUCCUCCCUGCUCGGUCCUUAUGGAGUGAGCCCACCCCACAGCGAGGCCCUGUGGUGAGCAGCGUGCAUGAUGCAUGCGUGAGUGCCUGUAGUUUAAAGGAUGACUGCACAGGGAUGCUCCCUGUGCGAUUAUAUAGAUGUACCCUAUGCCUACAGUUCAAAACUGAAAAAACUCCAGGAAAAUGUAAGUCCUCUCUCAAGAAAUUUGAGGACAGGCACAGGGAGGUUACAGAGAAGGAGGGUGAGACUGGCUGCAGGCAAUAAGAUUCAGCAGGAUGGAAGGAAGGUGUGAUGUGGCAAGGUGACAGAGUUGCUCACCUGAUGGUAAUUCCAGCCUUGUGUUUGUGCCUGGAAAUAGUGUUCACAGGGGGUGUGAAUAAAGCUGAGAUUCUGUCCCACCUCUGCACACAAGUUUCCUGCUAGUGGAUUCACCAUGGGACCAGAGCAGGACCAAGUAUUCCUACAACACUUAUCCUUGAGCAGCUUGUGUUUGAAAAGGAGCUCCAGCCCUGUGUGACCAUGGUAGCACCGGACUGGCAUGGUUAGACCUCUAGUGUCUGGGAGAAGGAGAAAGGGUGCAGCACUGCAUGCACACAGCUUGCCUGUAAUGCUGAGCAGGGCCUGAUGGUUCCAGCUAGCCUGCUCCAUUGCAUGGAGGAUGUCAGCAUCAAUUUUU
Long non-coding RNA from Numida meleagris (helmeted guineafowl), 899 nucleotides. RefSeq lists it as uncharacterized. The record is from RefSeq and is a predicted model, not a curated record. The transcript has 2 exons. NCBI's taxonomy places the organism in Eukaryota, Metazoa, Chordata, Aves, Galliformes, Numididae.